CCGCGAGUCUCGCAGCCAAUCCUGCCCUCGCCUCAUCCCACUCCCACACAAGCCGCCAGAGAAACCCUAGCCCCUUUCCCGUCGGUCCCCACAGCCUCUCCCACUUCUUCCAUCCCCCCUCCCCGUGUCACCACUCACCAUGGCCUCCGCCCUGAAGCCUCGCCGACGCCUGCUAUUCCUCCUCCCUCGUCUCUGUUCGGCGCCGACGACCGGCUCACCCCACAGCUUCUUCCCCACCCACGACCUAGCGUUGGGGAGGCCGGGUUUUCUCGCUGGGGGUGGAGGAGAUGGGGACGGCCAAGAGGCCAGCGGUGCGGAGCAGCCAGGCCGGCCUGCCGUCUCUCCCCGGAUCUGGUCAGCGGCCGAGUUGGCUGGUUGGGAUGAGGAGAUUGUCCUCCUUGUGGCGCUCGUCAUCGAGGACAGCCUGGUUCGCAAAUCGCGGCCCUCCUGCGUUGGGCUACACGACGUGGCUUACUGAAGAGCGCUGACCAACAGCAGGUGCUGAUCUUGGGUUUACCACUUGUGGCUUUGGUUUGAUAGGGUGCUAGCAGCUGCAGUUCUGUUCAUUUGGAGGACACAUAUGACAAACUGUGACAUCACAGUAUUUUUUCCUUCAGAUGCUUUAUCUUUGUUUUUCUGUGUGUAUGCAUGCCAUGGUUUGCACAUCCUUUGCUCAUUGGCAUGUCUAUACACGGGCUUGUUGUUCUUCUAGAGAACUGAGUUGGUGAUGUUUAUUAUUGUUAGCUGUUUAGAGUGAUUGUUCCCAAUUAAUUUUGAUCAAUUAAUUAUUAGCAGGUAUUUAUCUAACGGCCUUAUGCGAAUUCCAGGCCAGUUGAUUCCUUUUUUAGCCAAGGCCAUCUUUAUAUCACAUAUCUCUGCUGCUGGUGAAAGUGAUUCAACUGAAAGUGGCAUGUGAUUCUCCCCUGGAGCCCAACAGCCCUCUAUAUGGAUUAUCUGAAAGUUGAAGAGUAUGCUUAUGCAUCAGAUUUUCUCCUCUUAGUUAUGCAAUUCAGGCCUGUAUUUAUUUUUCAAUAUCACUAUGAGUAUCAUGAUCAAGGUUUACGAGUCGAUGAGUCGACGAGUCGUUCCGACGUUGAGACUCAUAGACUAAUCGUGACUAGUCUAGACUAGUGCUGGACUAGUCGACAUGGUACUGUAGUACUCAAUUAUUGUUAAUAACUAGUAGUAGUAUCAAGUAUGUAGUAUAUAUAAACAGUACAGUAUGCAAUAAAACCAGAAGUGUUAGGCAACGCUCGCCAGGCCCAGCCCAGCACCACACAACACCCCCAGCUGGCCCAUUUGGGCCCAAGUGGCCAGCCUACUUGGCUCCCGUCACUGGAACCCUAGCUCCCAAUCGUUCCCAUUGCUGCCGCCAGCACCAUCACACACAGGAGCACGCGUGCGCGACCCGCGCCUCGAGCCGCCUUCCGCCGGCCCCAGCCGCUGCCGCCAACCACCUCCAUGCCUCCUCCUCUCCUCUCCUCUCCUCUAUCUCUAUUCCUUCUCUCUCGUCUCAGGGCCGCGCGCACCUACAUGUCACGGCCAUGGCUGCCGCCCGAGCAUGAGCUCCGGCCAGGCUGGGUGACUUAUCCCCUCAAAAUUUUGAGUCGCUCGACUCAAAUAGCUCGACUAGUCCAGACUAGUCUACGACUAGUCUGUCGACUGUUCGACUAGACCAAGUAGUCUACACGAGAUUUGUAGUCGACACUCAAGUUGCGACUCAUAGACUAGUCUGUCGACUAGUCUCGACUAGUCCCUCGACUCGUAAUCAGUGAUCAUGAUAGAGAGUUAAUAGUUCACUCACUGGACAAAAUAUUUAGUUGGCAUAUUGAGGGGCUCACACCCUUUUAUGGAUGAACUUAUACCAUGAACCGUUAAACAGAUAGCAUGACCAUAUGAUUAUAGAGAGAAAAAAACCAUAGCUUGUGUUGUUGGGCAGGUUAUUAGUGACUUUUAAACAUAGUCAUGCAAUAGAACUUUAGGAUUCAUAAUUAUUCUACAUAUGAUUGUUGAAACCAGUACUUUUGUAAGACCGAUGGUGAUGUAUGCUCCUUGCUGGUUUAGGUUGGUUGGUUGGAACAUUGUUGAUUGUAUGGUGGCUACAAAAGUGAAUCUUCACGCUGGCUGCAAUAGAAGCUGAUAUAGGUUACAGGAGAAAAUACUGAAUAUUUGAGAAAUUUACAUCGGAAGUUUAUAUCUCACAAUAUUAACCAAAUAAAGAAGUUGUACAGAAGAAAAUUAGUCAUGGAUAUUUUAAUUGUAUAGUUGUUUUGCUAUGGUUCUAAAUAGCGUCUGGAUCGGCCGAUAUUGCGGUCUUGGCUGUCUGCUUAUAUCAAGUAUGGUCUGAUAUUUUGGUCAUAUCAGCCCCAGUAUUGAGCAUACCGACUGAUAUUCUGGUCAUAUCAGCCCCAAUAUUGAGCAUACCAGCUGAUAUUCUGGUCAUAUCACACUUUCUACAGUACACCAAAUCUACGAGCACGAUAUCUGAUAUUUGAAUCCUGAAAUUACCAUUAGAAAGGCAAAGAGAUCUUGUAGAAAAAUAGGUUACAUGCUCAGGUAUAUCAUAUAUGGAGAAAAGGCACCUAUCAGCUGUAUUGGUUCUUUCGUAUUUUUGUGCAGUCCUUCUAUUAAUUUUUUCUAACUUUCUGGGUUUAUAUUUGAGCAAGAUAAAUAUAUUCCAUCUCUAUCCCAGUACAGAAUCGAAGCUUCAUCAAAUCUAUCUGGGCGUUCAUUGCGUAAUACAAUGUUGAGAUUGAGAACAUUUUCAGAGGGGAACUUAAGGCUAUUCCUCAUGUUGCAACCUUUUCCCGUAGAAUCGAAAGGAAUUAGAUGGAAGAAAUUGCAGGAGGAAUGGUAUUCUUGGCUGACAUUCAAAAGCAGUCAAGAUGGUGAAGUUUAGAACGGAGGAGCUCCGCGGAAUUAUGGAUAAAAAAUAUCCAUAACAUGUCUGUCAUUGCUCAUGUCGACCACGGUAUGUGACGGAGCAGUGACAGUUGUCUCUAAUUGUCAAGUUUAUACGGUAGAAUCUUCUUGAUUGAUGAUUUUGUAGCCUUCUCUUAGUUGUACUGUAUUAAUUCUUAAAACUGGAUCAUUUAAAAUUAAUUAGAUUUAAUGAGUUGUUUCACUGUUUUCAAAUAAGUAGUUUAAGCCCUUAUUGUGUCCCGGAGCUUAUUCUUUCUGCCUUUUUAUGAUUGAUAUAUGCUCUAACAAGCUUGAAUGUAACUAUUGGCGUAUAAUCUCAUGGAGCAAAAUCUUAGUUGUUGAAUGUAUUGAAAUUUAUAAGAUCUGGAGUUUGCACUAUAUUUCAUCCUGCGGUAUUCCCAGUCACUGAAUAUUAAGAGCACCGACGAUCCCAGGUUGUACAUUCGGGAAAUGCUUUUAUCUUGCAGGCCAGUUUUACAUUUGCUUCUUCAAUAAGGAUAUGACCAUGAACAGAGUAUCAUGGUAUUUGCCUUGGCAUUACUGACGUUGUGUUCAGAUUACUGAAAGAAGGAUAGGUAGCCGCAAAGGAGUGAAGGGUAGAAAAUAUGUCCAUUGUCGUUGAAUUGGUGGGAUUGUCACCAAGUUAGUGCUGCAGAUGUUUCUAUUUUAGAGCAAGAAGCCAAAUCAUGCUGUUCAUUGUAAAUCUUGAAAAACUUGUUUAUUGUCACUUCUAUAUCUGUUGUAAACGUUUGUUCGUGAUGUGGUACUUGUCAAUCUUGGUUUGCCCUUCCUUUUCAA
Molecule: ribosomal RNA, 3720 nt
Filed under: Triticum aestivum (bread wheat)
Lineage: Eukaryota; Viridiplantae; Streptophyta; Magnoliopsida; Poales; Poaceae
Description: partial small subunit ribosomal RNA
Source: RNAcentral